RNAcentral lists this ribosomal RNA (332 nucleotides) under uncultured bacterium. Its description in RNAcentral is "bacterial SSU rRNA". It matches the Rfam family "Bacterial small subunit ribosomal RNA", at positions 568 to 898 of the family's 1533-position model. The record is from RNAcentral.
UGCGUAGGCGGUCCGGGAAGUUGGGUGUGAAAGCCCUCAGCUCAACUGAGGAAUUGCGCCCAAAACUGCCGGGCUCGAGGGAGACAUAGGUGAGCGGAACUUAGGGUGGAGCGGUGAAAUGCGUUGAGAUCCUAAGGAACACCAGUAGCGAAAGCGGCUCACUGGGUCUCUUCUGACGCUGAUGCACGAAAGCUAGGGGAGCGAAGAGGAUUAGAUACCCUCGUAGUCCUAGCCGUAAACAAUGAGCACUGGUUUGGAGGGUCCUCCAUAGCCUUCCAGACGUAGCGAAAGUGUUAAGUGCUCCGCCUGGGGAGUAUGGUCGCAAGGCUGAA